GACGAACGCUGGCGGCGUGCUUAACACAUGCAAGUCGAACGAAGAGCGAUGGAAGCUUGCUUCUAUCAAUCUUAGUGGCGAACGGGUGAGUAACGCGUAAUCAACCUGCCCUUCAGAGGGGGACAACAGUUGGAAACGACUGCUAAUACCGCAUACGAUCUAAUCUCGGCAUCGAGGAAAGAUGAAAGGUGGCCUCUAUGUAUAAGCUAUCACUGAAGGAGGGGAUUGCGUCUGAUUAGCUAGUUGGAGGGGUAACGGCCCACCAAGGCGAUGAUCAGUAGCCGGUCUGAGAGGAUGAACGGCCACAUUGGGACUGAGACACGGCCCAGACUCCUACGGGAGGCAGCAGUGGGGAAUCUUCCGCAAUGGACGAAAGUCUGACGGAGCAACGCCGCGUGAGUGAUGACGGCCUUCGGGUUGUAAAGCUCUGUUAAUCGGGACGAAAGGCCUUCUUGCGAAUAGUUAGAAGGAUUGACGGUACCGGAAUAGAAAGCCACGGCUAACUACGUGCCAGCAGCCGCGGUAAUACGUAGGUGGCAAGCGUUGUCCGGAAUUAUUGGGCGUAAAGCGCGCGCAGGCGGAUCAGUCAGUCUGUCUUAAAAGUUCGGGGCUUAACCCCGUGAUGGGAUGGAAACUGCUGAUCUAGAGUAUCGGAGAGGAAAGUGGAAU
RNAcentral lists this ribosomal RNA (669 nucleotides) under uncultured bacterium. RNAcentral describes it as "bacterial SSU rRNA". It matches the Rfam family "Bacterial small subunit ribosomal RNA", at positions 28 to 667 of the family's 1533-position model. The record is from RNAcentral.